This 444-nucleotide unclassified non-coding RNA is filed under the name Hevea brasiliensis (rubber tree). Lineage: Eukaryota; Viridiplantae; Streptophyta; Magnoliopsida; Malpighiales; Euphorbiaceae. The record is from RNAcentral.
AGCAACAACAACAACAGCAUAGUGGUAAUCCACAGCAGUCGCAACAGCAGCAGCUUCCUCAGCACUCACUUUCUGGUCAGCAACCACAGAGUUCAAAUCACAGUCUACAACAGGAUAAAAUUAUGGGCAGUGGCACAGGAGAUGGAAGCAUGUCAAAUUCUUUUCGUGGAAAUGAUCAGGCUUCAAAAAACCAGACUGGGAGGAAAAGAAAACACCCUGUUUCAUCUUCGGGUCCCGCCAACAGCUCAGGAACUGCAAACACCGCUGGACCUUCCCCAAGUUCUGCUCCUUCAACGCCAUCAACUCACACACCUGGAGAUGUGAUUUCAAUGCCUGUCUUACAACAUAGUGGAAGUUCUUCAAAGCCAUUGAUGAUGUUUGGAGCAGAUAAUAAUGGAACUCUCACGUCGCCAUCAAAUCAAUUGUGGGAUGACAAAGAUUUUG